RNAcentral lists this ribosomal RNA (253 nucleotides) under uncultured bacterium. RNAcentral's name for it is "partial 16S ribosomal RNA". It matches the Rfam family "Bacterial small subunit ribosomal RNA", at positions 524 to 776 of the family's 1533-position model. The record is from RNAcentral.
UACAGAGGGUGCGAGCGUUAAUCGGAAUUACUGGGCGUAAAGGGCUCGUAGGCGGCCAACUAAGUCAGACGUGAAAUCCCUCGGCUUAACCGGGGAACUGCGUCUGAUACUGGUUGGCUUGAAUCCGGGAGAGGGAUGUGGAAUUCCAGGUGUAGCGGUGAAAUGCGUAGAUAUCUGGAGGAACACCGGUGGCGAAGGCGGCAUCCUGGACCGGUAUUGACGCUGAGGAGCGAAAGCCAGGGGAGCAAACGGG